AAUGAGUUGCCUGCGUUAGCCGGACAGUGAGUCUGAUGUUAAAGGAGUGUUUGCUUGUAAAAAGAGUGUGGAAUUAGACCGCCAGGACAAGGGUAAAUCCAGUUUUCUAUGAUUUGAUAGCCUAGUUUUCUAAAAUGGCUAAAACCACCCGGUUUUAAAUAUCCACUGUACAUAGUAUGUGACAUCAAAAAGACGGGAACAUCUUCGUUGCAGUGACAGCCUACUGCGAGGGACUGUUCAGAAUGGGCUGCAAGACCGAACGGUCAUUACCAAGGCCAUGUCAGCACAGGAAUCACUUUAUCACUUUCUUUCGUCUUGUUAGUGGGGCAUCAUUUUCAUACAUGGAAGAACCAUUUGUAAAAAAAAACAAGAAAAAAUACAUUUUGUUAGCAACUGGGACUGUGUUCGAACGUUCAGUCGAGGCUAGAGUCGCAGGGAUCUCAGAUGUUUCUCUCAACCAACCAUGGGAUGGUUUGAAUCUUAACUUCGACAAAAGGCAAACAUUUUUGGAAUUUUCCAGUAAAACCAGAGAGGGUUAGGAUCGCUGAAGACUGAUUGCAUAUGGAACAGCCCCUCCUGCCCACGGUACAAGUGAAGGACGUGUCUGGCUUAUCAGUCGAGCUCCAGACAAGGUCAUAUUUGACUUUAGAAUGUUUCCACUCAGCUUUUUGCUCAACUGUUUUGCGAGGCAUUUCCUGUAUCACAUUUUGCAUAAUUGGUGUUCGAGGUUUUUGGAUAGUAACUUUUUUUUGCUGUCGAGGAUUAGGCCAUUGAAAAGGAUCCUAUUCAUUUAUUUAUUUAUUUAUUUAUAUAUGAUCAGAAGUUGGGUUGCAUUACCUCUGUCUGUGUCACUGUUGCUUCAGCCAGAAGCAUUAAGCAAUAGGUCUGGGUGAGCCAGAAGUAUCAGUGCUGUAAACAGACAUUGUGAAACCUGCUGUACAGGACAUUACUCUAGAACCCUUCUUUUCUAAACCGGUACUUGUGUAAAUGGAUGACUUACAUUUUUUGCCACUCCUGGACCACUGAGAAUGUAAAAUCAUUUUGAGAAAUGUAAGCAUUUUUAAAUGAAUGGCAGUAAUAUUCCAUGAAUCUAUUAUACAAGACCAAAGAUACUGCAAGUAUCUUGGAAAACUGUGAUCUUGAUUAAACUUGAUACUAUAUAUUAUGCAUGCAAUGUACACAUGCAUUCAUAGUUAUAAUUUUUAUCUUGCACACACAAACCAUAAAUUGUCUAGUUUGCUUCCUCAAAUAGUCUGUUGCCACAUUAAUUUCUCCACGGCGCUAACUGUUCUUUUGCGGAAGACAGUGUCCUCAUUUGUUACACAGUUGUACUAAAGAUAAAAAGAUUCCUGUCCUGUGUUUGUAAAAAUAAAUUCUCCAAAUGGGCAGAUCGGGAA
Long non-coding RNA from Conger conger (European conger), 1397 nucleotides. RefSeq lists it as uncharacterized. NCBI's taxonomy places the organism in Eukaryota, Metazoa, Chordata, Actinopteri, Anguilliformes, Congridae. The record is from RefSeq and is a predicted model, not a curated record. The transcript is spliced from 2 exons.